Molecule: ribosomal RNA, 498 nt
Filed under: uncultured bacterium
Lineage: Bacteria
Description: partial 16S ribosomal RNA
Rfam family: Bacterial small subunit ribosomal RNA
Source: RNAcentral
GACGAACGCUGGCGGCGUGCCUAAUACAUGCAAGUCGAGCGGACGGAUGGGAGCUUGCUCCCAGACCGUCAGCGGCGGACGGGUGAGUAACACGUGGGCAACCUGCCUGUAAGACUGGGAUAACUCCGGGAAACCGGGGCUAAUACCGGAUAACUCUUUCCCUCACAUGAGGGAAAGCUGAAAGAUGGCAUCUCGCUAUCACUUACAGAUGGGCCCGCGGCGCAUUAGCUAGUUGGUGAGGUAACGGCUCACCAAGGCGACGAUGCGUAGCCGACCUGAGAGGGUGAUCGGCCACACUGGGACUGAGACACGGCACAGACUCCUACGGGAGGCAGCAGUAGGGAAUCUUCCGCAAUGGACGAAAGUCGGACGGAGCAACGCCGCGUGAGUGAUGAAGGUGUUCGGAUCGUAAAACUCUGUUGUCAGGGAAGAACAAGUACCGGAGUAACUGCCGGUACCUUGACGGUACCUGAACAGAAAGCCACGGCUAACUACGUG